GAUCCUGGCUCAGGAUGAACGCUAGCUACAGGCUUAACACAUGCAAGUCGAGGGGCAGCAUGUAUCUGGCUUGCCAGAUACGAUGGCGACCGGCGCACGGGUGAGUAACGCGUAUCCGACCUGCCGCACACUCCGGGAUAGCCUUGCGAAAGCAAGUUUAAUACCGGAUGCCGUAAUGGCGCCGCAUGGUGUUUUUACGAAAGGGAUUUACCGGUGUGCGAUGGGGAUGCGU
RNAcentral lists this ribosomal RNA (232 nucleotides) under uncultured bacterium. Its description in RNAcentral is "partial 16S ribosomal RNA". It matches the Rfam family "Bacterial small subunit ribosomal RNA", at positions 15 to 236 of the family's 1533-position model. The record is from RNAcentral.